AAGGAAUGAUGUAACGGAUCGACGGGCACCCCGACUGGGUACCUCCGUUGAAGGAUGCUCCUAUCGCUUCCUGAGGGCUCCAAGCACUCCAGCACUCCAGCCGACACCAUAACCACCGUAGACUCCUCCUCCGUUCAGUAGUUUGGAAGAUACAGAUUCCGCAGAACAUAUACAGGCUAAAUGAAAAAUAAUUACUGUAUAAUGUGUCCCCUGUUGUAUAGUUUAAAACUACUGCACGAUGUCUCUGUGCACCAAAUACCAGCGAGAUGGCACCGUGUAGAAAAGUCCAAACAGUGUCUGUGAGUUAAAAUGGCUGCCAUCCAUUGUUCUCACCAUGUGCUUCAUCCAUUGUUCUCACCAUGUGCCUCUGAUACUAGAAAUAGUGGCCACCCAGUAACUCCACAUUAUGUCCCCAGAUGGUUCUUAAAGGGCCAGCAGCAGCAUAAUAAAAUCAAGUAUGCCCACAUCAGUUCCUAGAAGGGCAAUACAUCCCAGGGCCAUAGUCGCAGGACAGGAGGCUGGCAAACAGGCCCCUUCAAAACCAGUGGCGAGAUUACUUUCGCCACACCCAUUUUACAAACAUAGUACUGCCCACAGGGUUGAAGAACAACCAAUCAAUACAUUACAACACAACUAAACACUCCCAUUCAUACCAGCAUAAAUCCUCCCC
Pelobates cultripes (western spadefoot toad) is the source of this 670-nucleotide non-coding RNA. Lineage: Eukaryota; Metazoa; Chordata; Amphibia; Anura; Pelobatidae. The record is from the annotation of a GenBank genome assembly.